UACGUAGGGUGCGAGCGUUGUCCGGAAUUACUGGGCGUAAAGCGCACGUAGGCGGCUUGGUAUGUCGGGUGUGAAAUCCCCGGGCUCAACCUGGGAACUGCAUCCGAAACUGCCUUGCUAGAGUAUGGGAGAGGGAAGUGGAAUUUCCGGUGUAGCGGUGAAAUGCGUAGAUAUCGGAAGGAACAUCAGUGGCGAAGGCGACUUCCUGGACCAAUACUGACGCUCAGGUGCGAAAGCGUGGGGAGCAAACAGG
This 253-nucleotide ribosomal RNA is filed under the name uncultured bacterium. Its description in RNAcentral is "partial 16S ribosomal RNA". It matches the Rfam family "Bacterial small subunit ribosomal RNA", at positions 524 to 776 of the family's 1533-position model. The record is from RNAcentral.